Long non-coding RNA from Alligator mississippiensis (American alligator), 1813 nucleotides. RefSeq lists it as uncharacterized. The record is from RefSeq and is a predicted model, not a curated record. The transcript has 2 exons. NCBI's taxonomy places the organism in Eukaryota, Metazoa, Chordata, Crocodylia, Alligatoridae.
CCGGCGCAGCCCGCGGUCAGCUGCAGGUUUCCUCCGUCCCGCUGAGCUGCUCCGGCCUCUGCCGCCGUCUGCGCUGCGGGGUCCCCGGUUGGUGCGGAAGAGGUUUCCCCGCCCCGCUGUGGCAGAAGCUGCCUUUGCCUUCAUUUAACACGAGGAGCUGGUCUACUGACAGGAAAACAACACUAGAAGGGGCCGUAUUCUUCUCCGGAGCUCUUGUACACGUGCUGCACUGAAUUCUCAAGUCACUGAAUGACCUUUUGUUAAUUGUAUGCUCCGAUGUGUUAAGCACGUUCACUCGGCACACAACUAGGAUAUUUUUUCUGGACUACAUUGUCCCAAACUGAACGUAACACCUGACUUACGCUGAAUUGUAUGACCAUAACGUGUAAUGCAGAAGUGCUGUGCGUGCCUGUUACACUGCAUUGUGAAAGUGUCUUGGUAGUAGAAAUGUAACCUCCCAGAGAUAUACCAGAAAGACAGAAGUCAUGACCUCGUUAGUAAAGUCUUUAGAGACAAGAAGCACUAGAGAUGACCUUGUGGUCUGCAUAACUCUGGAUGCGCCCAAGGAAAGAUAGCAGCUUCCUUUCUCACCCUUCCAUCCCUCCUUUUUCUUUUUUUAAUAUGCCACGACCAUCACCUAGGACAGAAUAAGACUCUUCCUUCUCACGAACGUCUCUUCCUCCAGUCAGGAAGUGGCAGCACUUCGGCGCACGCUCUCUUCUCACCUCUUUACCUCUAGUCCAGAAGCAGAGCUGCACACAUGCAAUCCUCCUGCCUGCACCUGCUGGACGGUACCAAGGGCCAGCUCCGUCUCUAGGGCUCUUACUAAUAACUGAAGCAAGAGUUCAAGCCCCAAUCCACAAACCUGGGACAACUACAUUACGCCUCCCGAUUGCUCAGAAAGCCAAACCUGCCCCGCUUGCAACCUCUGCACUAACCCAGCAAGCCUGGACGAAGGGGGAAGUGGGGAUAUUGUGAACCACCCAACCUCCCAGAGCUAGGAGUGGCUGACAGCCCCGAGCCGGGACCCCUCUCUCUCCACGUGGUGUGCUCCAUUCACCGCUUGUAGUCCCAGCUCGAAGAAGUCAAGGCUUCAAAGUGGGUCCAUCAGGAGCUGAAGCAAGUGCUGCUCGGCAGAGAGGCGCUAACUAGAACCCGUCUAACCCCAGCGGUGCCACUGCCACUGCCGCCCUGCUUUCCACCACUGGAGCACCACGGCAGGUCUUCUUUGCUCGUCUUCCCCACCCUUGGGCCCCACUCCUGCCUUCGCUGCCACCCUCAGCUGGUCACGCACAAGCAGCCUUUGCAGCAUUGCCCAUCUGUAGCAGUGUUUCAGGCUGCCUCAAAGAGCCUCCGGGACUACACGCUUUUGGAAAGGGAUCCGUGCUCUACCUGGGCCAAGGGAGUCUUUGAUCCCCUCAAAAGACACUCCUAAAUAACAGUCUUCUUUCCUUUCCCUUCCCUUCCCUUCCCGAAGGCGGCCUCAAUGCCAACUCGCUUCCUCCAGCAGAGAGAGACUCCUGGGUAAAGCCUGUUUGCUCUCGUCUCCGCUGACCGUAGCCCAGACCUCUUCACCCCACCGCGGCAGGCUGCAACGGGGCCGGGCUCGGACACGAUGCUCCAGUGUGGCCCCUUUCGACUCUACCGUCCACGAGUCUAUGAAACAGCGCUUCGGGUGACUCGUGUCCGCCAGCGCGUAACGCCCGAUGCGACGCCCCCGGUACGCAGCUCAGUGGACCUAAGUGCUGAAACGUGAGCCUGGUUCGCCCUUUCAAAGAUGCGGAAAAUCCAUGAAUACACCUAUGUUUGUACA